This 207-nucleotide ribosomal RNA is filed under the name uncultured bacterium. Its description in RNAcentral is "partial 16S ribosomal RNA". It matches the Rfam family "Bacterial small subunit ribosomal RNA", at positions 568 to 774 of the family's 1533-position model. The record is from RNAcentral.
AGCGCAGGCGGACCGGCAAGUUGGAAGUGAAAACUAUGGGCUCAACCCAUAAAUUGCUUUCAAAACUGCUGGCCUUGAGUAGUGCAGAGGUAGGUGGAAUUCCCGGUGUAGCGGUGGAAUGCGUAGAUAUCGGGAGGAACACCAGUGGCGAAGGCGACCUACUGGGCACCAACUGACGCUGAGGCUCGAAAGCAUAGGGUGCAAACA